RNAcentral lists this ribosomal RNA (444 nucleotides) under uncultured bacterium. RNAcentral describes it as "partial 16S ribosomal RNA". It matches the Rfam family "Bacterial small subunit ribosomal RNA", at positions 338 to 795 of the family's 1533-position model. The record is from RNAcentral.
CCUACGGGUGGCAGCAGUGAGGAAUAUUGGUCAAUGGCCGGAAGGCUGAACCAGCCAAGUCGCGUGAGGGAAUAAGGCCCUAUGGGUCGUAAACCUCUUUUCUCAGGGACGAAGAAAGUGACGGUACCUGAGGAAUAAGCCACGGCUAACUACGUGCCAGCAGCCGCGGUAAUACGUAGGUGGCAAGCGUUAUCCGGAUUUACUGGGUGUAAAGGGCGUGUAGGCGGGACUGCAAGUCAGAUGUGAAAACCACGGGCUCAACCUGUGGCCUGCAUUUGAAACUGUAGUUCUUGAGUACUGGAGAGGCAGACGGAAUUCCUAGUGUAGCGGUGAAAUGCGUAGAUAUUAGGAGGAACACCAGUGGCGAAGGCGGUCUGCUGGACAGCAACUGACGCUGAGGCGCGAAAGCGUGGGGAGCAAACAGGAUUAGAUACCCCGGUAGUC